CAGGCCUAACACAUGCAAGUCGAACGANCCCUUCGGGGUUAGUGGCGCACGGGUGCGUAACGCGUGGGAACCUGCCUUUUGGUUCGGAAUAACAGUGAGAAAUUACUGCUAAUACCGGAUAAUGUCUUCGGACCAAAGAUUUAUCGCCAUUAGAUGGGCCCGCGUAAGAUUAGCUAGUUGGUGGGGUAAAGGCCUACCAAGGCGACGAUCUUCAGCUGGUCUGAGAGGAUGAUCAGCCACACUGGGACUGAGACACGGCCCAGACUCCUACGGGAGGCAGCAGUGGGGAAUAUUGGACAAUGGGCGANAGCCUGAUCCAGCAAUGCCGCGUGAGUKAUGAAGGCCUUAGGGUUGUWAAGCUCUUUUACUGGGGAUGAUAAUBACAGUACCCAGAGAAUAAGCUCCGGCUAACUCCGUGCCAGCAGCCGCGGUAAUACGGAGGGAGCUAGCGUUGUUCGGAAUUACUGGGCGUAAAGCGCACGUAGGCGGCUUUUUAAGUCAGGGGUGAAAUCCCGGGGCUCAACCCCGGAACUGCCCUUGAAACUGGGAAGCUAGAAUCUUGGAGAGGCGAGUGGAAUUCCGAGUGUAGAGGUGAAAUUCGUAGAUAUUCGGAAGAACACCAGUGGCGAGGCGACUCGCUGGACAAGU
This 648-nucleotide ribosomal RNA is filed under the name uncultured Pseudomonadota bacterium. Its description in RNAcentral is "bacterial SSU rRNA". It matches the Rfam family "Bacterial small subunit ribosomal RNA", at positions 43 to 738 of the family's 1533-position model. Lineage: Bacteria; Pseudomonadati; Pseudomonadota. The record is from RNAcentral.